AGGACGAACGCUGGCGGCGUGCUUAACACAUGCAAGUCGAGCGGAAAGGCCCUUCGGGGUACUCGAGCGGCGAACGGGUGAGUAACACGUGAGCAACCUGCCCCUAGCUUCGGGAUAGCUCCGGGAAACCGGAAUUAAAUACCGAAUAUGGCCAUGGACGACAUCAGCCAUGGUGGAAAGUUUUUCGGCUAGGGAUGGACUCGCGGCCUAUCAGCUAGUUGGUGAGGUAACGGCCCACCAAGGCGACGAC
RNAcentral lists this ribosomal RNA (250 nucleotides) under uncultured bacterium. RNAcentral describes it as "partial small subunit ribosomal RNA". It matches the Rfam family "Bacterial small subunit ribosomal RNA", at positions 26 to 280 of the family's 1533-position model. The record is from RNAcentral.